Molecule: non-coding RNA, 254 nt
Filed under: Lactobacillus sp.
Lineage: Bacteria; Bacillati; Bacillota; Bacilli; Lactobacillales; Lactobacillaceae
Description: T-box sequence
Rfam family: T-box leader
About the family: Uncharged tRNA acts as the effector for transcription antitermination of genes in the T-box leader family. T-boxes are found upstream of many aminoacyl-tRNA synthetase genes and some amino acid biosynthetic genes usually in Gram-positive bacteria. The anticodon of a specific tRNA base pairs to a specifier sequence within the T-box motif, and the NCCA acceptor tail of the tRNA base pairs to a conserved bulge in the T-box antiterminator hairpin.
Source: RNAcentral
AAAAAGGCCAUGAAAAAGAGGAGUAGAUGAUUUAUCUUUCAAAGUGAGCUAGUGAUAGUGAGAAACUAGUAAACCCUGAAUCAUUGAAAAACACUUUUUAGCAGCUCGCCGAAAUAGUAAAUCCUAUAGUAAGCCGAGACGUCAACGGUACGUUAUCAAGCCGCGAAAGCAUUAUUUGUGCUUGAUUUUUUAAGUAGGUCUUUAAUUAGACAAUUUAGGUGGUACCGCGGAGAAGAAAGUCUUUCGUCCUGAUU